Gallus gallus (chicken) is the source of this 1083-nucleotide long non-coding RNA. NCBI's taxonomy places the organism in Eukaryota, Metazoa, Chordata, Aves, Galliformes, Phasianidae. The record is from Ensembl.
AAUUCAACUGUGUGACCAAAAGGGGUAGAGCCUGGCUCCACCGCUCCUCGACUCCAUUUGAGGGCUGACUGCCACUAAGGAAGGAUCUCUUUCUGGAAAUUGCUCUUUUUGGAGUUAUUCUGAGAGCUUAGGAUGCAGGAUAGAUGCUUCUGUGAUCAUCUUCAUGGCCUCCUUUGGACCCAUUCCAACAGCUCCACAUCUUUCCUGUGCUGAGGGCCCAGACCUGGAUGCAGUUUUCCAGAUGAGGCCUCAUGAAAGCAGAGUAGAAGGGGGCAAUCACCUCCCUCUCCCUGCUGGCCACCCCUCUUCUGAUGCAACUCAGGACUCAGGAUACAGUUGGUCUUCCAGGCUGCAAGAGCACACUGACAGUUCAUGUCCAGAUUUUGACCAUCAGAACCUCUAAGUCCUACUCCACAGUGCUGCUCUCCAUGAGUUCUUCUACCAGUCUGAACACACAUCUGAGAUUGCCCUAACGCAGGUACACUUGCACUUGAGUCACAUAUUGACACUUGCACUUGACCUGAUUGAACCUUAAAAAGUUCACACGCCCACUUCUCAAGCCUGUUCAGGUCUCUCUAAAUGGCAUCCUUUCAUUACGUCACAUCAAUUACACUACUCUGCCUCUGCUUGGUGUACCCUUAGCAAAUUUACUAAUGACACCCAACCCCACUGUCUGUGUCAUUGACAACCAGUGGUUAAAAACCACUGGUCCCAAGAUGAAUCCCUUCAUGACAAAAAAAAAAAAAAAAGCACCUACACAAUCUGAGAAAAAUUUAUAUUAGUCUUUGAUGUAACAUUUCUUUGGGCAGCUUAGAUUUCUAGUAUGUGUUGAAACUUUCCACUGAAGAGAAUACUUGCAUUACUUUUCAGCUGAACACAUGGAGUAGUCAUUUUUACUGCAAUAUCUCUUUAUAGAAGCAUAAGGAGGGGCACAAUCAGAGGCAGAACAUUAAUACUGGACAUUGUCUUAAAAUAAUUAAUUCCCUGUAAACCAUUAAAAGUAUAAAUAUCCAUAUUUAGGCACACCAAGAGGUAUCACAUGUUGCGUCAUGCAUAAUCAAUAAAGUUCUAAAAAUCUCUGUU